UGGGUGUGGGCCAAGCUGUAGGUGUGGGCAUGGGCGACAGUGUAGGCAUGGGCAUGGGUGUGGGUGAUGGUGUGGGUGUGGGCCAGGCUGUAGGUGUGGGCAUGGGUGACGGUGUUGCUGUAGGUGAUAGUGUGGGUGUGGGUGAGGCUGUAGGUGUGGGCAUGGGUGACGGUGUAGGCAUGGGCAUGGGUGUGGGUGAUGGCGUGGGUGUGGGCGAGGCUGUAGGUGUGGGCAUGGGUGAUGGUGUAGGCGUGGGCAUGGGUGUGGGUGUCAGUGAUAGUGCAGCCAUCCCCACACCUAAGGG
Molecule: long non-coding RNA, 304 nt
Filed under: Homo sapiens (human)
Lineage: Eukaryota; Metazoa; Chordata; Mammalia; Primates; Hominidae
Description: non-protein coding lnc-IDI1-4:1
Source: RNAcentral